CGGGUAAACAGUAACAGGUUAAUGAACUUUUCAAUUUUCCAAUCCUACCAUCUCCUUUCUCACGCUAUCUUCCCCAUUUUUCCCAGAACCCGCUCGAAGACUUCCAAAUUCCGAGACUUCUCUCUCACUCUCACUUCUCUUCUCUGUUUCAAAAAAAUCCUUCAGAUCCUAAAACUUGACGGAAAGAUUGGAGCUUUCAGCUUGCUACACCAUAUCUGAAAGAAGCCAUCCUUCCUCCCAGCUAUCUCUCUCGUUCUCCAGGUCGCGUUCUGCGGCUCGGAGUCCUUCCUCUGAUAAACAAAGAAUAUGAAAGAUUGCGAAUAAGGGCCUUAGUCCUGAGAUGGAGGACAAGUUAGAUAUGAUGUUCUCGAACACAGUUGCUACUGGUGAGCAUGCCUAAGCACCUUCAUAUGGAGAACUACCACCAGAGACAAGAGGAAUCUAUAAGACAAAUUGAUUCAGAUAAUGAGGAAGAAAAUGAGACUAUUCAGGAUCUAAGGCAAGCUACUAGGAAGGGAAAAAAAGAGCGGCUAACUAAGGAGAAUUGCAAAAGAAGGUUGAUAAGAAAGGGAAAAAAAUUGGAGGUGCUGCAAAAUUUUGUGGUAAAAUUGGCCAUCCUGUUGAAGCUUAUGGAAGUAGAAGUUCUGCAAACUCAUUGAUGAAGCAGCUGCAUAUUGGCAGUAGUAUUCCGGAAGUGAUAAUGGUUGUUGCACAAUUGCCUAGUUGUGAGCCACCUAGCGAGUUAUGGUUGUUUGCUAUAUGUUUAUUUUGUAGUGCAGAUAAGCGAGAGAUGUUUGCCAUGAUAAAAGAUCCUGAAGUUCGGCUGACUUGGUUGAAAUUUAUGUUCAACAAACAACAAUAAAGAGCUAAAACUAUGAAUUAGAACAAUGUGUGGUUUGUACUUUGCAUUAAGAUUAUGUGUUGAAUGUUGCUUGUAUUUUGUGUUUAUUGAAUGUUGGAUUAUAUGUUGAAUGUUGAAUUAUGAUUUCUU
Long non-coding RNA from Malus domestica (apple), 991 nucleotides. RefSeq lists it as uncharacterized. The record is from RefSeq and is a predicted model, not a curated record. NCBI's taxonomy places the organism in Eukaryota, Viridiplantae, Streptophyta, Magnoliopsida, Rosales, Rosaceae.